RNAcentral lists this ribosomal RNA (441 nucleotides) under uncultured bacterium. RNAcentral describes it as "partial 16S ribosomal RNA". It matches the Rfam family "Bacterial small subunit ribosomal RNA", at positions 338 to 795 of the family's 1533-position model. The record is from RNAcentral.
CCUACGGGGGGCAGCAGUGGGGGAUAUUGCACAAUGGGGGGAACCCUGAUGCAGCGACGCCGCGUGGGUGAAGGAGUGCUUCGGCAUGUAAAGCCCUAUCGGCAGGGAAGAAGCAAGACGUUACCUGACUAAGAAGCCCCGGCUAACUACGUGCCAGCAGCCGCGGUAAUACGUAGGGGGCGAGCGUUAUCCGGAUUCAUUGGGUGUAAAGGGAGCGUAGACGGCCAAGCAAGCCAGGGGUGAAUGCCCGGGGCCCAACCCCGGGACUGCCCUUGAAACUGUAUGGCUAGAGUGCGGGAGGGGCAGGCGGAAUUCCUGGUGUAGCGGUGAAAUGCGUAGAUAUCAGGAGGAACACCAGCGGCGAAGGCGGCCUGCUGGACCGCGACUGACGUUGAGGCUCGAAAGCGUGGGGAGCGAACAGGAUUAGAUACCCUAGUAGUC